Molecule: transfer RNA, 94 nt
Filed under: Yamadazyma tenuis ATCC 10573
Lineage: Eukaryota; Fungi; Ascomycota; Pichiomycetes; Serinales; Debaryomycetaceae
Also listed under: 1 other name
Description: Candida tenuis ATCC 10573 tRNA
Rfam family: tRNA
About the family: Transfer RNA (tRNA) molecules are approximately 80 nucleotides in length. Their secondary structure includes four short double-helical elements and three loops (D, anti-codon, and T loops).
Source: Rfam by way of RNAcentral
GGUCCCUUGGCCUAGUUGGUUAAGGCGUGGUGCUAAUAUGCAGGAAAUCCUUCGUGUAACGCCAAGAUCAGCAGUUCGAUCCUGCUAGGGACCA